RNAcentral lists this ribosomal RNA (374 nucleotides) under uncultured bacterium. RNAcentral describes it as "bacterial SSU rRNA". It matches the Rfam family "Bacterial small subunit ribosomal RNA", at positions 527 to 898 of the family's 1533-position model. The record is from RNAcentral.
GUAGGGGGCGAGCGUUAUCCGGAUUUACUGGGCGUAAAGCGCAUGUAGGCGGUUGGGAAAGUUGGACGUGAAAGCUCCCGGCUUAACUGGGAGAGGUCGUUCGAUACUACCCGGCUGGAGGUUGGAAGAGGAGAGUGGAAUUCCCGGUGUAGUGGUGGAAUGCGUAGAUAUCGGGAGGAACACCAGUGGCGAAAGCGGCUCUCUGGACCAAUACUGACGCUGAGAUGCGAAAGCGUGGGGAGCAAACGGGAUUAGAUACCCCGGUAGUCCACGCUGUAAACGAUGGAGACUAGGUGUAGGCGGUCAUUUACCCCGUCUGUGCCGCAGCCAACGCGUUAAGUCUCCCGCCUGGGGACUACGGCCGCAAGGUUAAA